AGUGAACGCUGGCGGUAGGCCUAACACAUGCAAGUCGAACGGCAGCACAGUAAGAGCUUGCUCUUACGGGUGGCGAGUGGCGGACGGGUGAGGAAUACAUCGGAAUCUACUUUUUCGUGGGGGAUAACGUAGGGAAACUUACGCUAAUACCGCAUACGACCUACGGGUGAAAGCAGGGGAUCUUCGGACCUUGCGCGAUUGAAUGAGCCGAUGUCGGAUUAGCUAGUUGGCGGGGUAAAGGCCCACCAAGGCGACGAUCCGUAGCUGGUCUGAGAGGAUGAUCAGCCACACUGGAACUGAGACACGGUCCAGACUCCUACGGGAGGCAGCAAUGGGGAAUAUUGGACAAUGGGCGCAAGCCUGAUCCGGCCAUACCGCGUGGGUGAAGAAGGCCUUCGGGUUGUAAAGCCCUUUUGUUGGGAAAGAAAAGCAGCAGGUUAAUACCCCGCUGUUCUGACGGUACCCAAAGAAUAAGCACCGGCUAACUUCGUG
This 492-nucleotide ribosomal RNA is filed under the name uncultured bacterium. RNAcentral's name for it is "partial 16S ribosomal RNA". It matches the Rfam family "Bacterial small subunit ribosomal RNA", at positions 29 to 507 of the family's 1533-position model. The record is from RNAcentral.